UUUGGCACACGGAGGCCGCCCGCAAAGUCUGGGGCCAUUCCGAGUCCGGCGGACGAACUUCGCCCACGCCCCACGCCAAGGCUAUAGCCCACCCGUUUCUUGGCCAUUUUUCCGCUGGGGGGUCUUGGCAGCCCGACCUUCGGGAGCUAAUUUUUGGUCACGGCUGUGCCCGUGGCCUAUUUUUCGCACACGGAGGCCGCCCGCAAAGUCUGGGGCCAUUCCGAGUCCGGCGGACGAACUUCGCCCACGCCCCCCACCAAGGCUAUAGCCCACCCGUUUUUUGGCCAUUUUUCCGCUGGGGGGUCUUGGCGCCCCGACCUUCGGGGGCUAAUUUUUGGGCGCGGCUGUGCCCGUGGCCUAUUUUUGGCACACGGAGGCCGCCCGCAAAGUCUGGGGCCAUUCCGAGUCCGGCGGACGAACUUCGCCCACGCCCCCAACCAGGCUAUAGCCCACCCGUUUUUUGGCCAUUUUUCCGCUGGGGGGUCUUGGCGCCCCGACCUUCGGGGGCUAAUUUUUGGGCGCGGCUGUGACCGUGGCCUAUUUUUGGCACACGGAGGCCGCCCGCAAAGUCUGGGGCCAUUCCGAGUCCGGCGGACGAACUUCGCCCACGCCCCCAACGAGGCUAUAGCCCACCCGUUUUUUGGCCAUUUUUCCGCUGGGGGGUCUUGGCAGCCCGACCUUCGGGGGCUAAUUUUUUGGCGCGGCUGUGCCCGUGGCGUAUUUUUGGCACAAGGAGGCCGCCCGCAAAGUCUGGGGCCAUUCCGAUUCCGGCGAGCGAACUUCGCCCACGCCCCCAACAAGGCUAUAGCCCACCCGUUUUUUGGCCAUUUUUCCGCUGGGGUGUCUUGGCGGCCCAACCUUCGGGGGCUAAUUUUUGGGCGCGGCUGUGCCCGUGGCCUAUUUUUGGCACACGGAGGCCGCCCGCAAAUUCUGGGGCCAUUCCGAGUCCGGCGGACGAACUUCGCCCACGCCCCCAACCAGGCUAUAGCCCACCCGUUUUUUGGCCAUUUUUCCGCUGGGGGGUCUUGGCGCCCCGACCUUCGGGGGCUAAUUUUUGGGCACGGCUGUGACCGUGGCCUAUUUUUGGCACACGGAGGCCGCCCGCAAAGUCUGGGGCCAUUCCGAGUCCGGCGGACGAACUUCGCCCACGCCCCCCGCCAAGGCUAUAGCCCACCCGUUUUUUGGCCAUUUUUCCGCGUGGGGGGUCUGGGCACCCCGACCUUCGGGGGCUAAUUUUUGGCCACGGCUGUGCCCGUGGCCUAUUUUUGGCACACGGAGUCCGCCCGCAAAGUUAGGGACCAUUCCGAGUCGGGCGGAGGAGCUUCCCUCACCCCCCCAACAAGGCUAUAGACCACCCGUAUUUUGACCAUUUUUCAGCUGGGGGGUCUUGGCCCCCCCGACCUUCGGGAGUUAAUUUUUGGGCGCGGCUGUGCCCGUGGCAUAUUUUUGGCACACGGAGGCCGUCCGCAAAGUCUGGGGCCAUUCCGAGUCCGGCGGACGAACUUCGCCCACGCCCCCCACCAAGGCUAUAGCCCACCCGUUUUUUGGCCAUUUUUCCGCUGAGGGUUCUUGGCGCCCCGACCUUCGGGGGCUAAUUUUUGGGCGCGGCUGUGCCCGUGGCCUAUUUUUGGCACACGGAGGCCGCCCGCAAAGUCUGGGGCCAUUCCGAGUCCGGCGGACGAACUUCGCCCACGCCCCCCGCCAAGGCUAUAGCCCACCCGUUUUUUGGCCAUUUUCCGCUGGGGGGUCUAGGCGCCCCGACCUUCGGGGGCUAAUUUUUGGGCGCGGCAGUGCCCGUGGCCUAUUUUUGGCACACGGAGGCCGCCCGCAAAGUCUGGGGCCAUUCCGAGUCCGGCGGACGAACUUCGCCCACGCCCCCCGCCAAGGCUAUAGCCCACCCGUUUUUUGGCCAUUUUUCCGCUGGGGGGUCUUGGCACCCCGACCUUCGGGGGCUAAUUUUUGGGCGCGGCUGUGCCCGUGGCCUAUUUUUGGCACACGGAGGCCGCCCGCAAAGUCUGGGGCCAUUCCGAGUCCGGCGGAUGAACUUCGCCCACGACCCCAACCAGGCUAUAGCCCACCCGUUUUUUGGCCAUUUUUCCGCUGGGGGGUCUUGGCGCCCCGACCUUCGGGGGCUAAUUUUUGGGCGCGGCAGUGCCCGUGGCCUAUUUUUGGCACACGGAGGCCGCCCGCAAAGUCUGGGGCCAUUCCGAGUCCGGCGGACGAACUUCGCCCACGCCCCCCGCCAAGGCUAUAGCCCACCCGUUUUUUGGCCAUUUUUCCGCUGGAGGGUCUUGGCGCCCCGACCUUUGGGGGCUAAUUUUUGGGCACGGCUGUGCCCGUGGCCUAUUUUUGGCACACGGAGGCCGCCCGCAAAGUCUGGGGCCAUUCCGAGUCCGGCGGACGAACUUCGCCCACGCCCCCAACAAGGCUAUAGCCCACCCGUUUUUUGGCCAUUUUUCCGCUCGGGUGUCUUGGCGGCCCAACCUUCGGGGGCUAAUUUUUGGGCGCGGCUGUGCCCGUGGCCUAUUUAUGGCACACGGAGGCCGCCCGCAAAGUCUGGGGCCAUUCCGAGUCCGGCGGACGAACUUCGCCCACGCCCCCAACCAGGCUAUAGCCCACCCGUUUUUUGGCCAUUUUUCUGCUGGGGGGUCUUGGCGCCCCGACCUUCGGGGGCUAAUUUUUGGGCGCGGCUGUGACCGUGGCCUAUUUUUGGCACACGGAGGCCGCCCGCAAAGUCUGGGGCCAUUCCGAGUCCGGCGGACGAACUUCGCCCACGCCCCACGCCAAGGCUAUAGCCCACCCGUUUUUUGGCCAUUUUUCCGCUGGGGGGUCUUGGCAGCCCGACCUUCGGGAGCUAAUUUUUGGUCACGGCUGUGCCCGUGGCCUAUUUUUCGCACACGGAGGCCGCCCGCAAAGUCUGGGGCCAUUCCGAGUCCGGCGGACGAACUUCGCCCACGCCCCCCACCAAGGCUAUAGCCCACCCGUUUUUUGGCCAUUUUUCCGCUGGGGGGUCUUGGCGCCCCGACCUUCGGGGGCUAAUUUUUGGGCGCGGCUGUGCCCGUGGCCUAUUUUUGGCACACGGAGGCCGCCCGCAAAGUCUGGGGCCAUUCCGAGUCCGGCGGAUGAACUUCGCCCACGACCCCAACCAGGCUAUAGCCCACCCGUUUUUUGGCCAUUUUUCCGCUGGGGGGUCUUGGCGCCCCGACCUUCGGGGGCUAAUUUUUGGGCGCGGCUGUGCCCGUGGCCUAUUUUUGGCACACGGAGGCCGCCCGCAAAGUCUGGGGCCAUUCCGAGUCCGGCGGACGAACUUCGCCCACGCCCCCAACAAGGCUAUAGCCCACCCGUUUGUUGGCCAUUUUUCCGCUGGGGGGUCUUGGCAGCCCGACCUUCGGGGGCUAAUUUUUUGGCGCGGCUGUGCCCGUGGCCUAUUUUUGGCACACGGAGGCCGCCCGCAAAGUCUGGGGCCAUUCCGUGUCCGGCGGACAAACUUCGCCCACGCCCCCCGCCAAGGCUAUAGCCCACCCGUUUUUUGGCCAUUUUUCCGCUGGGGGGUCUAGGCUCCCCGACCUUCGGGGGCUAAUUUUUGGGCGCGGCUGUGCCCGUGGCCUAUUUUUGGCACACGGAGGCCGCCCGCAAAGUCUGGGUCCAUUCCGAGUCCGGCGGACGAACUUCGCCCACGCCCCCCGCCAAGGCUAUAGCCCACCCGUUUUUUGGCCAUUUUUCCGCUGGGGGGUCUUGGCAGCCCGACCUUCGGGGGCUAAUUUUUGGGCGCGGCUGUGCCCGUGGCCUAUUUUUGGCACACGGAGGCCGCCCGCAAAGUCUGGGGCCAUUCCGAGUCCGGCGGACGAACUUCGCCCACGCCCCCAACAAGGCUAUAGCCCACCCGUUUUUUGGCCAUUUUUCCGCUGGGGUGUCUUGGCGGCCCAACCUUCGGGGGCUAAUUUUUGGGCGCGGCUGUGCCCGUGGCCUAUUUUUGGCACACGGAGGCCGCCCGCAAAUUCUGGGGCCAUUCCGAGUCCGGCGGACGAACUUCGCCCACGCCCCCAACCAGGCUAUAGCCCACCCGUUUUUUGGCCAUUUUUCCGCUGGGGGGUCUUGGCGCCCCGACCUUCGGGGGCUAAUUUUUGGGCGCGGCUGUGACCGUGGCCUAUUUUUGGCACACGGAGGCCGCCCGCAAAGUCUGGGGCCAUUCCGAGUCCGGCGGACGAACUUCGCCCACGCCCCACGCCAAGGCUAUAGCCCACCCGUUUUUUGGCCAUUUUUCCGCUGGGGGGUCUUGGCAGCCCGACCUUCGGGAGCUAAUUUUUGGUCACGGCUGUGCCCGUGGCCUAUUUUUCGCACACGGAGGCCGCCCGCAAAGUCUGGGGCCAUUCCGAGUCCGGCGGACGAACUUCGCCCACGCCCCCAACCAGGCUAUAGCCCACCCGUUUUUUGGCCAUUUUUCCGCUGGGGGGUCUUGGCGGCCCGACCUUCNNNNNNNNNNNNNNNNNNNNNNNNNNNNNNNNNNNNNNNNNNNNNNNNNNNNNNNNNNNNNNNNNNNNNNNNNNNNNNNNNNNNNNNNNNNNNNNNNNNNUCGCCCACGCCCCCCACCAAGGGUAUAGCCCACCCGUUUUUUGGCCAUUUUUCCGCUGGGGGGUCUUGGCGCCCCGACCUUCGGGGGCUAAUUUUUUGGCGCGGCAGUGCCCGUGGCCUAUUUUAGGCACACGGAGGCCGCCCGCAAAGUCUGGGGGCCAUUCCGAGUCCGGCGGACGAACUUCGCCCACGCCCCCCGCCAAGGCUAUAGCCCACCCGUUUUUUGGCCAUUUUUCCGCUGGGGGGUCUUGGCACCCCGACCUUCGGGGGCUAAUUUUUGGGCGCGGCUGUGCCCGUGGCCUAUUUUUGGCACACGGAGGCCGCCCGCAAAGUCUGGGGCCAUUCCGAGUCCGGCGGACGAACUUCGCCCACGACCCCAACCAGGCUAUAGCCCACCCGUUUUUUGGCCAUUUUUCCGCUGGGGGGUCUUGGCGCCCCGACCUUCGGAGGCUAAUUUUUGGGCGCGGCUGUGCCCGUGGCCUAUUUUUGGCACACGGAGGCCGCCCGCAAAGUCUGGGGCCAUUCCGAGUCCGGCGGACGAAC
Molecule: long non-coding RNA, 5115 nt
Filed under: Citrus x clementina
Lineage: Eukaryota; Viridiplantae; Streptophyta; Magnoliopsida; Sapindales; Rutaceae
Description: Citrus clementina (C. clementina) long non-coding RNA (CCLE_LNC003765)
Source: RNAcentral